GAUCCUGGCUCAGGACGAACGCUGGCGGCGCGCCUAACACAUGCAAGUCGAACGAGCGAGAGAGAGCUUGCUUUCUCAAGCGAGUGGCGAACGGGUGAGUAACGCGUGAGGAACCUGCCUCAAAGAGGGGGACAACAGUUGGAAACGACUGCUAAUACCGCAUAAGCCCACGACCCGGCAUCGGGUAGAGGGAAAAGGAGCAAUCCGCUUUGAGAUGGCCUCGCGUCCGAUUAGCUAGUUGGUGAGG
This 247-nucleotide ribosomal RNA is filed under the name uncultured bacterium. Its description in RNAcentral is "partial 16S ribosomal RNA". It matches the Rfam family "Bacterial small subunit ribosomal RNA", at positions 15 to 257 of the family's 1533-position model. The record is from RNAcentral.